AUGGGAAACCCUGUUGAUGCACCUAAACCCUAUCAACGGAUAUGGAAAUCAUGCUCUUUACCAAAGCAGAAAUUCUUCUUCUGGCUCUUGUUACAAGACAGAUUAAACACUAGAGACCUACUAAAAAGGAAGAAUUUCUACAUUGAGACUAGUAAGUGUGAAUUAUGUGAUGAUGAACCUAAUGAACAUUUAAUGCAUCUGUUUUUUAGCUGUGAUUUCACUCAAAACUUCUGGAUGAACAUUGGCUACCAAUGGAACACUGAUCAUAACCUCAUAGAAAUGCUCCUGGAGGGAAGGAAGCAAGAUACACAUGGAUGCUUUAAAGAAUGUCUGAUUGCUGGAUGCUGGAGUCUAUGGAAACACAGAAAUAGCAUAAUUUUUGACAACAAGGUCAAAAAUAUGACAUUCUGUAUUGCCACUUUCAAGGAGCACUUUUGCAUGAUUAUAAAGAAGGCAAAACCAGGAUUGAAAGAGGGCAUGCAAAGCUGGCUAGAUCAUUUGUAG
Molecule: ribosomal RNA, 504 nt
Filed under: Triticum aestivum (bread wheat)
Lineage: Eukaryota; Viridiplantae; Streptophyta; Magnoliopsida; Poales; Poaceae
Description: partial small subunit ribosomal RNA
Source: RNAcentral